AACGAACGCUGGCGGCAGGCUUAACACAUGCAAGUCGAGCGCCCCGCAAGGGGAGCGGCAGACGGGUGUGUAACGCGUGGGAAUCUACCCAGCUCUACGGAACAACUCCGGGAAACUGGAGCUAAUACCGUAUACGUCCUUCGGGAGAAAGAUUUAUCGGAGUUGGAUGAGCCCGCGUUGGAUUAGCUAGUUGGUGGGGUAAUGGCCUACCAAGGCGACGAUCCAUAGCUGGUCUGAGAGGAUGAUCAGCCACACUGGGACUGAGACACGGCCCAGACUCCUACGGGAGGAAGCAGUGGGGAAUAUUGGACAAUGGGCGCAAGCCUGAUCCAGCCAUGCCGCGUGAGUGAUGAAGGCCCUAGGGUUGUAAAGCUCUUACACCGGUGAAGAUAAUGACGGUAACCGGAGAAGAAGCCCCGGCCAACUUCGUGCCAGCCGCCGCCGUAA
Molecule: ribosomal RNA, 447 nt
Filed under: uncultured bacterium
Lineage: Bacteria
Description: partial 16S ribosomal RNA
Rfam family: Bacterial small subunit ribosomal RNA
Source: RNAcentral